UAGUCCACGCCGUAAACGAUGAUCACUAGAUGUUGGUUUGGCCUAGCUGAAUCAGUAUCGUAGCUAACGCGUUAAGUGAUCCGCCUGGGGAUUACGGUCGCAAGACUAAAACUCAAAGGAAUUGACGGGGGUUCGCACAAGCGGUGGAACAUGUGGUUUAAUUCGACGCUACGCGAGGAACCUUACCUGGAUUUGACAUGCUUCUGAUCGCCAUAGAGAUAUGGUUUUCCAAGCUUUUGUUUGGACAGUUGCACAGGUGCUGCAUGGCUGUCGUCAGCUCGUGUCGUGAGAUGUUAGGUUAAGUCCUCUAACGAGCGCAACCCUUGCUACCAGUUGCUAUUUGUCUUCGGACAAAGCACUCUGGUGGGACUGCCUGGGAACCAGGACGGAAGGUGGGGACGACGUCAAGUCAUCAUGGUCCUUAUGUCCAGGGGCUACACACGUGUUACCAAUGGCCGAUACAAAGGGUUGCGAUCUCGCAAGGGUGAGCUAAUCCCA
Molecule: ribosomal RNA, 498 nt
Filed under: uncultured bacterium
Lineage: Bacteria
Description: bacterial SSU rRNA
Rfam family: Bacterial small subunit ribosomal RNA
Source: RNAcentral